UGGCGGACGGGUGAGUAAUGUCUGGGAAACUGCCUGAUGGAGGGGGAUAACUACUGGAAACGGUAGCUAAUACCGCAUAACGUCGCAAGACCAAAGAGGGGGACCUUCCGGCCUCUUGCCAUCGGAUGUGCCCAGAUGGGAUUAGCUAGUAGGUGGGGUAACGGCUCACCUAGGCGACGAUCCCUAGCUGGUCUGAGAGGAUGACCAGCCACACUGGAACUGAGACACGGUCCAGACUCCUACGGGAGGCAGCAGUGGGGAAUAUUGCACAAUGGGCGCAAGCCUGAUGCAGCCAUGCCGCGUGUAUGAAGAAGGCCUUCGGGUUGUAAAGUACUUUCAGCGGGGAGGAAGGCGAUAAGGUUAAUAACCUUGUCGAUUGACGUUACCCGCAGAAGAAGCACCGGCUAACUCCGUGCCAGCAGCCGCGGUAAUACGGAGGGUGCAAGCGUUAAUCGGAAUUACUGGGCGUAAAGCGCACGCAGGCGGUCUGUCAAGUCGGAUGUGAAAUCCCCGGGCUCAACCUGGGAACUGCAUUCGAAACUGGAUACAGGCUAGAGUCUUGUAGAGGGGGGUAGAAUUCCAGGUGUAGCGGUGAAAUGCGUAGAGAUCUGGAGGAAUACCGGUGGCGAAGGCGGCCCCCUGGACAAAGACUGACGGCUCAGGUGCGAAAGCGUGGGGAGCAAACAGGAUUAGAUACCCU
RNAcentral lists this ribosomal RNA (700 nucleotides) under Enterobacter cloacae. Its description in RNAcentral is "bacterial SSU rRNA". It matches the Rfam family "Bacterial small subunit ribosomal RNA", at positions 96 to 788 of the family's 1533-position model. The record is from RNAcentral. Lineage: Bacteria; Pseudomonadati; Pseudomonadota; Gammaproteobacteria; Enterobacterales; Enterobacteriaceae.